RNAcentral lists this ribosomal RNA (252 nucleotides) under uncultured bacterium. Its description in RNAcentral is "partial 16S ribosomal RNA". It matches the Rfam family "Bacterial small subunit ribosomal RNA", at positions 524 to 776 of the family's 1533-position model. The record is from RNAcentral.
UACGUAGGUGGCGAGCGUUAUCCGAAAUGAUUGGGCGUAAAGGGUGCGUAGGUGGUUUAUUAAGUCUGGUGUAAAAGGCAGUGGCUCAACCAUUGUAUGCAUUGGAAACUGGUAGACUUGAGUGCAGGAGAGGAGAGUGGAAUUCCAUGUGUAGCGGUGAAAUGCGUAGAUAUAUGGAGGAACACCGGUGGCGAAAGCGGCUCUCUGGCCUGUAACUGACACUGAGGCUCGAAAGCGUGGGGAGCAAACAGG